This is a long non-coding RNA of Homo sapiens (human), 428 nucleotides long. Ensembl annotates it as MYCBP2 antisense RNA 2. Its record names the gene MYCBP2-AS2. The record is from Ensembl. NCBI's taxonomy places the organism in Eukaryota, Metazoa, Chordata, Mammalia, Primates, Hominidae.
AGCAAAAUGAAAGUCUGCUCUACAAUUUUCUGCUGCCAUUCCCUUGGUUAAGAUUUUCCCGUGACCUGGAAGUCCUCCCCUUAAACUCUGCUGAUCAAUUCUUCCAGGGUCUCUCAAACUCAGCAGAGAAAUUCUAAGUAACUCCUCUAAAAAAUUACUCUUUCCCUCUGCUGAUUCUUUUUGUAUUACUCUGGUGGCACUUAAUAAUAAUCUUUGACCUAUAGUGUAAUCAGCUUUUUUUUUUUUUUCUGAGAUGGAGUCUCCCUCUGUCACCCAGCCUAUCUUCAAGUGUCUACUUUGCCACAGUCCUCAUGAAAUAAAAAAUAAGUUUCAGACUGUCCCAAAUAAUCAUAAUUUAUAUUCUCUUCAGCCUAGUUCAUCCAUGUGUUUCAACUGAAUUAAAUAUUCUUUUAUAAAAGGCACUAAAC